RNAcentral lists this RNase P RNA (366 nucleotides) under Candidatus Spechtbacteria bacterium RIFCSPLOWO2_01_FULL_43_12. RNAcentral's name for it is "RNase P RNA component class A". It matches the Rfam family "Bacterial RNase P class A". From Rfam's summary of the family: Ribonuclease P (RNase P) is a ubiquitous endoribonuclease, found in archaea, bacteria and eukarya as well as chloroplasts and mitochondria. Its best characterised activity is the generation of mature 5'-ends of tRNAs by cleaving the 5'-leader elements of precursor-tRNAs. The record is from RNAcentral. Lineage: Bacteria; Candidatus Spechtiibacteriota.
UCUGGGGUACGGAUGGCCGCUUCUUUCAUCUUCUUUUGAAGGUGAAGGGGGAGGAAAGUCCGAACACCUCCCGCAAUAGCGGGGAAAUGGGUGGUUGGUAACGCCAACCGUCCGCUCCGCAAGGAGCGAGAUAGGGAAAGUGCCACAGAAACUAUACAGCAACGCCUCUGCUACAUGCAACGCUUAAGGUGAAAAGUGGCCGUAAAACGGCCUCUCCCGUAUGGCGACAUGCGGAAGUGGUAAACCCCACCCGGUGCAAGGCCGUGUCCGCCUUUGGCGGAAGUGCCGCUUGAGGCGCUAUGGCAACAUAGCGUCCAGAUAAAUGGUCAUCGAUAACAGAAUUCGGCUUAUAGUGCUCUGGAGGAA